RNAcentral lists this ribosomal RNA (35 nucleotides) under Pseudisothecium holtii. Its description in RNAcentral is "5.8 S ribosomal RNA". The record is from RNAcentral. Lineage: Eukaryota; Viridiplantae; Streptophyta; Bryopsida; Hypnales; Lembophyllaceae.
GCGCCCGAGGCUUGUCCAAGGGCAUUUCCGCUAGA